This 1118-nucleotide small RNA is filed under the name Pan troglodytes (chimpanzee). RNAcentral's name for it is "retained intron". The record is from RNAcentral. Lineage: Eukaryota; Metazoa; Chordata; Mammalia; Primates; Hominidae.
GAGGUAGCCGGUUCAACCCCAUAUUAGAUAUGCUGGCAGCCCUUAAAAAAGGAAUAAUUGGAGGAGUCAAAGUUCAUGUGGAUCGUCUACAGACACUAAUAUCUGGAGCUGUAGUAGAACAACUUGAUUUCCUACGAAUCAGUGACACAGAAGAGCUUCCAGAAUUUAAGAGUUUUGAGGAACUAGAACCUCCCAAACAUUCAAAAGUCAAACGGCAAAGCAGCACCCCUAGUGCUCCUGAACUGGGACAGCAGCCGGAUGUCAACAUUAGUGAAUGGAAGGACAAACCCACCCACGAAAUUCUUCAAAAACUGAAUGAUUGCAGUUGUCUGGCUAGCCAAGCCAUCCUGCUGGGUAUACUGCUCAAAAGAGAAGGCCCCAACUUCAUCACAAAGGAAGGUACCGUUUCUGAUCACAUUGAGAGAGUCUAUAGAAGAGCUGGCAGCCAAAAACUUUGGUUUGUAUUAGUGUCCUUGUUGUUAUGUUUUAUUUUUGUGUUGUUACAUUCGAUAGCCUAAAGAAAAUGGACCAAUAUUAAAGAUAAUUAUUCAUCCUAAUUUUUACUUUUAACCUCCAAGGUUACAGCACUUUCUAAGAAUGUGCCUAUGUAGCAUGUCUCUCCCCCCACUGCCUCCACCAAAAUUCUGAGAACAAAGACACUGUAGGGAUUGAACCUGAAGAGUAUUCGCUGGAAUGGUAUGCUAAGGUUUCUUUCCUGCUGUACACCUCCUCUGCCCCAACAAGGUGCUUUAAGUUCUGUUUUUUAAUUUAGGAAACCUGUUCUGCUAUUAUAGAAGGCCAUGAAAAGAGACCAGUGAUUUAUCUAAUCAUAAGCAAAAAUAAUAUACUUAGAAGGCUAUUGUCUUGUCACUUAAGUUGAAUGAAUCCCAGUGAUUGUAGUUGCUUCACGAAAAAUAACCAAUUUGUUCUACAGAGGUAGUCUGUUCCCAGAGAUUGAAAAAAAAAACAAGUAGGAAAGUUUAAAUAAAUAAAAUUGUUUAAAUUCACAAUGGAGGGCCAAUUCACAUGGCCCUCUGCAUUUUGAUGUAAUUCUAACAGUUUUACUAGCAGAAUCUAACAAAUUUUGAAAGUCAGAGUGUAUGUAUAGAUAUAUAUAC